AGGAUGUGGCUGCGGCCGAUUAGGUAGACGGUGGGGUAACGGCCCACCGUGCCAAUAAUCGGUACGGGUUGUGAGAGCAAGAGCCCGGAGACGGUAUCUGAGACAAGAUACCGGGCCCUACGGGGCGCAGCAGGCGCGAAACCUUUACACUGCACGCGAGUGCGAUAAGGGGACUCCAAGUGCGAGGGCAUAUCGUCCUCGCUUUUCGCGACCGUAAGGUGGUCGCAGAAUAAGUGCUGGGCAAGACCGGUGCCAGCCGCCGCGGUAAUACCGGCAGCACAAGUGAUGACCGCUAUUAUUGGGCCUAAAGCGUCCGUAGCNGUCCGUAGCUGGCCAGCCAAGUCCAUCGGGAAAUCCGCGUGCUUAACACGCGGGCGUCCGGUGGAAACUGGAUGGCUUGGGACCGGAAGAUCCAGAGGGUACGUCCGGGGUAGGAGUGAAAUCCCGUAAUCCUGGACGGACCACCGGUGGCGAAAGCGCUCUGGAAAGACGGAUCCGACGGUGAGGGACGAAAGCUCGGGUCACGAACCGGAUUAGAUACCCGGGUAGUCCGAGCUGUAAACGAUGUCUGCUAGNUGGGCAAGACCGGUGCCAGCCGCCGCGGUAAUACCGGCAGCACAAGUGAUGACCGCUAUUAUUGGGCCUAAAGCGUCCGUAGCUGGCCACUCAAGUCCAUCGGGAAAUCCGCGUGCUUAACACGCGGGCGUCCGGUGGAAACUGAGUGGCUUGGGACCGGAAGACCAGAGGGGUACGUCCGGGGUAGGAGUGAAAUCCCGUAAUCCUGGACGGACCACCGGUGGCGAAAGCGCCUCUGGAAGACGGAUCCGACGGUGAGGGACGAAAGCUCGGGUCACGAACCGGAUUAGAUACCCGGGUAGUCCGAGCUGUAAACGAUGUCUGCUAGGUGUGACACAGGCUACGAGCCUGUGUUGUGCCGUAGGGAAGCCGUGAAGCAGACCGCCUGGGAAGUACGUCCGCAAGGAUGAAACUUAAAGGAAUUGGCGGGGGAGCACUACAACCGGAGGAGCCUGCGGUUUAAUUGGACUCAACGCCGGACAUCUCACCAGCAUCGACAACGUGCCGUGAAGGUCAGUGUGAUGAGCUUACUGGAGCCGUUGAGAGGAGGUGCAUGGCCGCCGUCAGCUCGUACCGUGAGGCGUCCUGUUAAGUCAGGCAACGAGCGAGACCCGCACUCCUAAUUGCCAGCAACACCCUUGUGGUGGUUGGGUACAUUAGGAGGACUGCCAGUGCCAAACUGGAGGAAGGAACGGGCAACGGUAGGUCAGUAUGCCCCGAAUGUGCUGGGCGACACGCGGGCUACAAUGGCCAAGACAGUGGGAUGCAACCCCGAAAGGGGGCGCUAAUCUCCGAAACUUGGUCGUAGUUCGGAUUGAGGGCUGAAACUCGCCCUCAUGAAGCUGGAUUCGGUAGUAAUCGCGCCUCAGAAGGGCGCGGUGAAUACGUCCCUGCUCCUUGCACACACCGCCCGUCAAAGCACCCGAGUGGGGUCCGGAUGAGGCC
Molecule: ribosomal RNA, 1521 nt
Filed under: Haloterrigena salina JCM 13891
Lineage: Archaea; Methanobacteriati; Methanobacteriota; Halobacteria; Halobacteriales; Natrialbaceae
Description: bacterial SSU rRNA
Rfam family: Archaeal small subunit ribosomal RNA
Source: RNAcentral